Molecule: long non-coding RNA, 337 nt
Organism: Mauremys reevesii (Reeves's turtle)
Lineage: Eukaryota; Metazoa; Chordata; Testudines; Geoemydidae
Exons: 3
Source: RefSeq, a predicted model, not a curated record
CUGGGAACCUCCAGAACUGAAAACCAUGAGCUGCUACAAUUUGAGCUAAAGCACCCUAACUGAGAGCACUAACAAUGCAUAUCCUCUGGGGACCGGUCUAGGCUGGAAGAUUCAAUAAGGACUAGAGAACAGUGAAUAGGUGACAUCGCAAGUGCCAAGGGAGUGACAGUUGAACAGGGAAGGGAUUUUUGGUGACCAUGAAUGAUAUCACUCUCCUGAGGCUGCCCCGUGCCAGCUACCUGGAGGAGUUGCCGAGACUACCCCACACCAGCUACCUGGAGGAGUUGCUGAGCCUGCCCUGUGCCAACUACGAGAAGGAGUUGCUGAGUCUACCCCU